RNAcentral lists this ribosomal RNA (292 nucleotides) under uncultured bacterium. Its description in RNAcentral is "partial 16S ribosomal RNA". It matches the Rfam family "Bacterial small subunit ribosomal RNA", at positions 355 to 638 of the family's 1533-position model. The record is from RNAcentral.
UAGGGAAUCUUCCACAAUGGACGCAAGUCUGAUGGAGCAACGCCGCGUGAGUGAAGAAGGUUUUCGGACCGUAAAGCUCUGUUGUUGGUGAAGAAGGAUAGAGGUAGUAACUGGCCUUUAUUUGACGGUAAUCAACCAGAAAGUCACGGCUAACUACGCGCCAGCAGCCGCGGUAAUACGUAGGUGGCAAGCGUUGUCCGGAUUUAUUGGGCGUAAAAGCGAGCGCAGGCGGAAGAAUAAGUCUGAUGUGAAAGCCCUCGGCUUAACCGAGGAAUUGCAUCGGAAACUGUUU